AAACAGUUCCUUUUAGGCCGCGGAUAAGUCGUUACUAUUUAGUAGAAUUGUUUUACGACGUCUAUUUAAAAUUAUCAUGUGUGCGUUCUCUUUCUUCAGAUUUAAUUGCUAAAAUUAUACUUCAUUUCGAUUAAGUUUUGGAUGCGUUAAGUCUCCUUGUUUAAGUGUAGCGCGAGUCUGGGAUGCAUUACAAACGGAAACUUGUUUCCAGGGCCCCUCUGAGAAAAGGAAUGUGGGAGCAAGUUGGUGGAGACCAAUAGGAAUUCACUUGACUAAAUUCUCCAGAGCGUGCGAGAAGACACAAACACACACUUCGUUGCUGGAGCAUGCUGAUAAGGCUCGUCAGUCCUCUACAGUAUGGUGGUUAACUUCCCAGCCGCUUUUACAAUCGUACUCAACAAGAAAAACAACCCUUUUUUUCCCAAGAAACCCUUAGAUCAGAAACGACAGGAAAUAUGCCCGUAAAAAGUUACACCGUUCACAUCCCUAGGGUUUUUCCGCAUAUUUGAAUUUGCAUAUGGAUCCUUCCAGCUCAUUUGCAUUCUAUGGUUCCUCGUGGUCAAAGCAGUUUCACAUUUCCGCAAAAAACUUCAGUCAAAUCUGACGUCCAGCAUUUGCUUGAAGAUUUGGCUUGUACUCACAAUACACCACGAAGCUUUCACAAAAGAACACGCUGUGAGGAUACGCUUCCUAAUGUAGCUACGAAUGGGAGUGAAUAGAGAGGAAACGAAGGGGAAAAAAUUAUUGCAAGACUCGACGCAGGCAAGACAAGAUAAGGGAAUUGAAUGAGGAAUCUGUUUGGUAUUGUGCGAUCAUGACAAGAUAAGAUGGACAGCUUCAAAAAUAUAUUUUCACAGAGGCUUCGUGAUCGACGAGAAGAAGUAAAGGGAAUCAGGCCUAUCAUGAUCAAAUAUUGAGUUCAACUUAACGGGUUUAUUCAAUGUUUUUCAGAAAGUACAAUACGGAGUUAAGUCUCGAGUUUAUCGCUAUUUUAAAACAUUUGUAAAUUUAAUUUCUGGAGUUAUUCUGAGGGCAAGAUCUGAUUAAACGUUUCAAUUUUCCCGCCAAAAAACUUAGAAAAAAUACGGGCGCGCUUAAAAUGCGCAUGCGCCAUUUUUUUUCCUUAAUUCAUACUCUCUGUAAGUAACAUCUGUUUAAAUGCAUUGAAUUUUCUCGCCGAAAAACUUAGAAAAAUACGGGCGCUCAAAUUACGCAUGCGCCAAUUUUUUUAUUGUCUCUUUUUAAUAUCAUUGUAUUUCUAAGAGGUUAUACA
This is a long non-coding RNA of Stylophora pistillata, 1273 nucleotides long. RefSeq lists it as uncharacterized. Lineage: Eukaryota; Metazoa; Cnidaria; Anthozoa; Scleractinia; Pocilloporidae. The record is from RefSeq and is a predicted model, not a curated record.